AGAGUUUGAUCCUGGCUCAGAUUGAACGCUGGCGGCAUGCCUUACACAUGCAAGUCGAACGGUAACGCGGGGGCAACCCUGGCGACGAGUGGCGAACGGGUGAGUAAUACAUCGGAACAUAUCCAGUAGCGGGGGAUAACCUAUCGAAAGAUGGACUAAUACCGCAUACGAUCUACGGAUGAAAGCAGGGGACCGCAAGGCCUUGCACUAUUGGAGUGGCCGAUGUCGGAUUAGCUAGUUGGUGGGGUAAAGGCUUACCAAGGCGACGAUCCGUAGCUGGUCUGAGAGGACGAUCAGCCACACUGGAACUGAGACACGGUCCAGACUCCUACGGGAGGCAGCAGUGGGGAAUUUUGGACAAUGGGCGCAAGCCUGAUCCAGCCAUGCCGCGUGAGUGAAGAAGGCCUUCGGGUUGUAAAGCUCUUUCGGUGAAGACGAAACGGUUAGCGCUAAUAACGCUGACUAAUGACGGUACUCACAGAAGAAGCACCGGCUAACUACGUGCCAGCAGCCGCGGUAAUACGUAGGGUGCAGGCGUUAAUCGGAAUUACUGGGCGUAAAGCGUGCGCAGGCGGUUUGCUAAGACAGGUGUGAAAUCCCCGGGCUUAACCUGGGAAUUGCGCUUGUAACUGGCAAGCUAGAGUGUGGCAGAGGGGGGCGGAAUUCCACGUGUAGCAGUGAAAUGCGUAGAUAUGUGGAGGAACACCGAUGGCGAAGGCAGCCCCCUGGGUUAACACUGACGCUCAUGCACGAAAGCGUGGGGAGCAAACAGGAUUAGAUACCCUGGUAGUCCACGCCCUAAACUAUGUCAACUAGUUGUCGGGGAAGAAAUUCCUUGGUAACGAAGCUAACGCGUGAAGUUGACCGCCUGGGGAGUACGGCCGCAAGGUUAAAACUCAAAGGAAUUGACGGGGACCCGCACAAGCGGUGGAUUAUGUGGAUUAAUUCGAUGCAACGCGAAAAACCUUACCUACCCUUGACAUGCUAGGAAGCCCGCAGAGAUGUGGGUGUGCCCGAAAGGGAACCUAGACACAGGUGCUGCAUGGCUGUCGUCAGCUCGUGUCGUGGGAUGUUGGUUAAGUCCCGCAACGAGCGCAACCCUUGCCAUUAGUUGCCACAUUCAGUUGGGCACUCUAAUGGGACCGCCGGUGACAAACCGGAGGAAGGUGGGGAUGACGUCAAGUCCUCAUGGCCCUUAUGGGUAGGGCUUCACACGUAAUACAAUGGUCGGUACAGAGGGCUGCCAACCCGCAAGGGGGAGCUAAUCCCAGAAAGCCGAUCGUAGUCCGGAUUGUAGUCUGCAACUCGACUGCAUGAAGCCGGAAUCGCUAGUAAUCGCGGAUCAGCAUGUCGCGGUGAAUACGUUCCCGGGUCUUGUACACACCGCCCGUCACACCAUGGGAGUGGGUUCCACCAGAAGUAGUUAGCCUAACCGCAAGGAGGGCGAUUACCACGGUGAGAUUCAUGACUGGGGUGAAGUCGUAACAAGGUA
Molecule: ribosomal RNA, 1492 nt
Filed under: metagenome
Description: bacterial SSU rRNA
Rfam family: Bacterial small subunit ribosomal RNA
Source: RNAcentral